UCGUAAAACUCUGUUGUUAGGGAAGAACAAGUGCUAGUUGAAUAAGCUGGCACCUUGACGGUACCUAACCAGAAAGCCACGGCUAACUACGUGCCAGCAGCCGCGGUAAUACGUAGGUGGCAAGCGUUAUCCGGAAUUAUUGGGCGUAAAGCGCGCGCAGGUGGUUUCUUAAGUCUGAUGUGAAAGCCCACGGCUCAACCGUGGAGGGUCAUUGGAAACUGGGAGACUUGAGUGCAGAAGAGGAAAGUGGAAUUCCAUGUGUAGCGGUGAAAUGCGUAGAGAUAUGGAGGAACACCAGUGGCGAAGGCGACUUUCUGGUC
RNAcentral lists this ribosomal RNA (320 nucleotides) under Bacillus sp. SRI41. Its description in RNAcentral is "bacterial SSU rRNA". It matches the Rfam family "Bacterial small subunit ribosomal RNA", at positions 423 to 734 of the family's 1533-position model. The record is from RNAcentral. Lineage: Bacteria; Bacillati; Bacillota; Bacilli; Caryophanales; Bacillaceae.